GUAACAAUUGGGGGCUCAGGCGAGAAACUGACAACGGGAAAGCAACAACGGAAGAAACAUAAUUGGAUAUUAUAAUCUCAAGGGGGAAUCCACUCUCUCGGAUGAGAGCGGUUGCUUUUGUUGUCAGUCUGAUGAUUGUCCUUUUGGUGUUAUAUUAUUGCUGGAUCUGUUUCCAGUUUUAACGUCAUGCAGUUCACGAUCAAAUUUGUCGACUUUGCCAGAGGAUGAAGUACAAGAGUGCAACGCUGAAGGUUCACUACGUCUUCGUCAAAAGGUUUCUGCUAAGAUUGUUCCUAACGUCUACUCAGUGAUGCCUAACAGUGGGGAAAGAUUUUGUAUUGUUGAUCACAUGUUUGUGGUUUGCUAGUGGUUUGAUACAGUGGUUUUUACACUGGUUUGUUGUUACAGUGGUUUGUUGCCCUGUUUUGUUACAAAGUUGUAAUAAUUUGAUAAAUCGCCCGUAAGUUAAAGUAAUAAUUAUUAUUGAAGUAUAAAAUGUUGUUUAAAUUUAAGAUUAAAAAGGGAGUGUGUAAUUUAUAAUAUUUUGAAGAUGUCGUUCUUCUGUUGUUGAAUCUUCCCUAUUCUGUUAUUCUGUUGCUAGAGUUUAAGGACGCUAUUCUUGCUGUAUCGAGUUUUCUCAAAUUUCAUUCUUUGUAGAGUAUUCUAGAGUAUAAUUAUAACAUUUAAAGAACAUUUGAUAUGGAUAUAAUGGAAGUUACGAACAGUUAGUUGGACGAAAGUUCUAGCAAACUUUCUUUUUUCAAGAGGGGGAGUGUGACGUGAAGCCAGUCACGUCAUAAACAUUCUUAAUUUAAGACAUUGCGUAAUUAUGCUAACUC
Paramuricea clavata is the source of this 839-nucleotide non-coding RNA. The record is from the annotation of a GenBank genome assembly. NCBI's taxonomy places the organism in Eukaryota, Metazoa, Cnidaria, Anthozoa, Malacalcyonacea, Plexauridae.